AUGGGUUCGAGGAUAGCUUUCUCUUGUUGUGCUCUGCUACUGGUCACACUGCUGCCUCUUUCGGCGAAUGCGUCGAGCAAACUCUACAUAGUGUACAUGGGGGAGAAGAAACAUGACGAUCCAUCUGUUGUGACCGCGUGGCACCAUGACAUACUAACCUCCGUACUUGGGAGCAAGGAUGAAUCCUUGAAGUCGAUGGUUUACAGUUACAAGCACGGAUUCUCUGGGUUCGCGGCAAUGCUCACCAAAACCCAAGCAAGGACUUUGGCAAACUUUCCUGAAGUUAUAAGUGUGAAACCUAACACCUACCACAUGGCGCACACAACUCGGAGCUGGGACUUCCUUGGCCUUGGGCACAACAAAUCACCACAACAAACUGACCUCCUACGAAAAGCGAAUUACGGUGAAGAUAUCAUUGUCGGGGUGAUCGAUUCAGGCAUAUGGCCUGAAUCACAAAGCUUUGACGACAACAGAUACGGCCCUGUGCCGGCACGGUGGAAAGGCAUAUGCCAGACCGGAACAGCGUUCAAUGCAUCGAGUUGCAAUAGAAAGAUCAUCGGCGCACGGUGGUACUCUGAGGGAAUUGACGCCAUGCACCUCAAGGGUGAGUACAUGUCGCCUCGGGAUUUCAACGGCCAUGGAACUCAUGUUGCCUCGACGAUUGCCGGAGGAGAAGUGCAAGGUGUGAGUUAUGGCGGCCUAGCCACCGGCAUGGCACGUGGCGGGGCACCGCGUGCACGGCUAGCAAUUUACAAGGUGUUAUGGGGCCCGAACACGGCAGCCAGUGACGCGGACAUCCUCGCAGCCAUUGACGAUGCCAUACAAGAUGGCGUGGAUGUCCUGUCGCUCUCACUGGGACGGGGUGCCGGUCACGAGUUCCCCGGGACACUUCAUGCAGUCUUGAGAGGGAUCUCAGUUGUCUUCUCUGCCGGGAAUGAUGGUCCGGCACCACAAACGGUGACGAAUGUCAUGCCAUGGGUGACGACAGUGGCAGCUAGCACGAUGGACCGGGCCUUCCCAACCCUCAUAUCUCUCGGAAACAAAGAAAAGCUUGUGGGACAAUCUCUUUACUACAACUCAACUCUGAACAGCGACGGCUUCAAGGAGCUUGUUCACGCGGGAAGCUGCACCGCGGAGUGGUUAGCGUCAAACAACGUGACCGGCAAGAUCGUCCUGUGCUACGCACCAAGGCUGGCGCCCAGCGUGCUGCCUCGAGUAGAGCUGUCCCUCACCAUCAAUCGUACUGUGGGUGCCGGAGCCAAGGGCCUCAUCUUUGCGCAGUACACCACGAACCUCCUGCCGAUAUGCAAGGGCGGCAUGCCCUGUAUUGUAGUAGACUACGAAAUUGCACAGAGAAUUGAAUCAUACUUGGCGAUCACAGAGAGUCCAAUCGUGAAGGUGUCACCUGCCAUGACCGUUGUCGGAGACGGGGUGUUGUCGCCAAGGGUUGCUUCAUUCUCGUCCAGAGGCCCGAGUCCUCUAUUCCCAGGCAUACUCAAGCCCGACAUAACUGCACCAGGCGUCGGCAUCUUGGCAGCUAUGCGCGGCUUCUAUGUGUUAAUGGAUGGUACAUCAAUGGCAUGCCCACAUGUCUCUGCAGUUACCGCACUUCUUAAGUCGGUUCACCCUGACUGGUCGCCUGCUAUGAUCAAGUCUGCAAUCGUCACCACGGGUAUGUACACUGUGUAG
This 1689-nucleotide ribosomal RNA is filed under the name Triticum aestivum (bread wheat). Its description in RNAcentral is "partial small subunit ribosomal RNA". Lineage: Eukaryota; Viridiplantae; Streptophyta; Magnoliopsida; Poales; Poaceae. The record is from RNAcentral.